RNAcentral lists this ribosomal RNA (255 nucleotides) under uncultured bacterium. RNAcentral's name for it is "partial 16S ribosomal RNA". It matches the Rfam family "Bacterial small subunit ribosomal RNA", at positions 524 to 776 of the family's 1533-position model. The record is from RNAcentral.
UACGGGGGGAUCAAGCGUUGUUCGGAUUUACUGGGCGUAAAGGGCGCGUAGGCGGCCACCGCAAGUCAAUUGUGAAAUCUCCGGGCUCAACCCGGAAAGGUCAACUGAUACUGCGGGGCUAGAGUGCAGAAGGGGCAACUGGAAUUCUCGGUGUAGCGGUGAAAUGCGUAGAUAUCGAGAGGAACACCUGCGGCGAAGGCGGGUUGCUGGGCUGACACUGACGCUGACAGCGCGAAAGCUAGGGGAGCGAACGGG